CAGCAGCCACGGUAAUACGAAGGGUGCAAGCGUUACUCGGAAUUACUGGGCGUAAAGCGUGCGUAGGUGGUGGUUUAAGUCCGUUGUGAAAGCCCUGGGCUCAACCUGGGAAUUGCAGUGGAUACUGGGUCACUAGAGUGUGGUAGAGGAUAGUGGAAUUUCCGGUGUAGCAGUGAAAUGCGUAGAGAUCGGAAGGAACAUCUGUGGCGAAGGCGACUAUCUGGGCCAACACUGACACUGAGGCACGAAAGCGUGGGGAGCAAACAGGAUUAGAUACCCCCGUAGUCCCUGUCCUCUUAUA
RNAcentral lists this ribosomal RNA (301 nucleotides) under uncultured bacterium. Its description in RNAcentral is "partial 16S ribosomal RNA". It matches the Rfam family "Bacterial small subunit ribosomal RNA", at positions 509 to 809 of the family's 1533-position model. The record is from RNAcentral.